Molecule: ribosomal RNA, 537 nt
Filed under: Phleogena faginea
Lineage: Eukaryota; Fungi; Basidiomycota; Atractiellomycetes; Atractiellales; Phleogenaceae
Description: LSU rRNA
Rfam family: Eukaryotic large subunit ribosomal RNA
Source: RNAcentral
CUAGUAACUGCGAGUGAAGCGGGAAGAGCUCAAAUUUGUAAUCUGGCCGUCCUCGAGGCGGUCCGAGUUGUAACCUAUAGAAGCGUCAUCCGCGCCGGCCCUUGCCUAAGUCUGUUGGAAUUCAGCGUCGUUGAGGGUGAGAACCCCGUCACUGGCAAGGACAACCGGGGCUUUGCGUUGCGCUCUCUAAGAGUCGUGUUGUUUGGGAAUGCAGCACUAACGGGUGGUAAAUUCCAUCUAAAGCUAAAUAUUGGCGAGAGACCGAUAGCGAACAAGUACCGUGAGGGAAAGAUGAAAAGCACUUUGGAAAGAGAGUUAAAUACCACGUGAAAUUGUUGAAAGGGAAACGCUUGAAAGUCAGUCAUGCCCUUGGGGAGCUUCAGCCUUAAUYGGUGUAUUCUUCCUUUGUGGCGGGUCGACGUCGGUUUCCAAGGCACGGAUAAGGGCCCGGGGAAUGUAGCUUUGCCACCGCGAAGUGUUAUAGACCCCCNCUGGAUACRGCUUUUGGGACCGAAGUUAGCAACGCGCUCCCCCUUU